UGGGGAAUCUUGGACAAUGGGGGCAACCCUGAUCCAGCGACGCCGCGUGGGUGGUAAGGCCUUCGGGUUGUAAAGCCCUUUCAGCGGGGAAGAUGAUGACAUUACCCGCAGAAGAAGCGCCGGCUAACUCCGUGCCAGCAGCCGCGGUAAGACGGAGGGCGCUAGCGUUGUUCGGAAUCACUGGGCGUAAAGGGCGCGUAGGCGGCUGCUUAAGUCGAGGGUGAAAGCCCGGGGCUCAACCUCGGAACGGCCUUCGAGACUGGGCGGCUAGAGACCGGAAGAGGAGGGUGGAAUACCCAGUGUAGAGGUGAAAUUCGUAGAUAUUGGGUGGAACACCAGUGGCGAAAGCGGCUCUCUGGUCCGGAUCUGACGCUGAGGCGCGAAAGCGUGGGGAGCAAACAGGAUUAGAUACCCCCGUAGUCC
RNAcentral lists this ribosomal RNA (423 nucleotides) under uncultured prokaryote. RNAcentral describes it as "bacterial SSU rRNA". It matches the Rfam family "Bacterial small subunit ribosomal RNA", at positions 355 to 796 of the family's 1533-position model. The record is from RNAcentral.